Dendronephthya gigantea is the source of this 100-nucleotide long non-coding RNA. RefSeq lists it as uncharacterized. Lineage: Eukaryota; Metazoa; Cnidaria; Anthozoa; Malacalcyonacea; Nephtheidae. The record is from RefSeq and is a predicted model, not a curated record. The transcript is spliced from 3 exons.
UACUUUAUAACAAUGAUAUGACACUAAUUUUCAAGUCACAAAUAUCACUUAGGUAGCAAUAUCAUACCAUACCAUACCAUACCAUAUCAUACCAUACCAU